This 22-nucleotide non-coding RNA is filed under the name Rattus norvegicus (Norway rat). The record is from RNAcentral. Lineage: Eukaryota; Metazoa; Chordata; Mammalia; Rodentia; Muridae.
CAAUUGAACGAAAUGUGCUCCU